UCAGGCUCUUGCUUCCCCCAGAGGCUGGAGUCAGACCUGCUCUGAGGACAGCGAUGUGGAGCCGAGCCUGUCCCUGGGAGACAUGAGAGGUGGAGAGCAGGACCAUGGAACAACGCAGAGGCUUCACUCUGGAUGACAAAUGAGGAGGAGAGAGGCCUGCCCUGCCUGGACUCCGGGUUGCCAGCAGGAAGCUGAGUCGCCCUGAGGUCGGUCAUGAUUUCAGACGGUCCCCCUGGGCCCUGGUCUCUGCCUGUUGCUUUGUCAGCCAUUCGCAGACCUCCCCAACCUCCCACCCUGCGCAAUGCCCCAGCCCCAGAUGUCAUCCCAGCGGCUCCUGCCCCUCCCCAGCACAGCACAGCCAGGUGUCCCGUAGGAGGAUGCACACCUUCCACCCUUUCAAGAAGAGCCUUCCACCUUUGUGUUGAGCCCUGGGCAAACCCCAGCGGGCCAGCAUAUUUAGGAGGCACCUGUGGACUGAGGAGGCAAGGCUGGGCUCGGUCAAGGGCAUGGCCCUCCACAGCCUGCAGGACUGUUUUUCAUCUCUGCUCCUUGAGUUUCUAGUGAUGGGGUCUUGGGUAUGCGAUUCAGCUUCUCUGAGCCUCAGCGGCCUUCCCUGUAAAAUGGGUGUGAUAACACUUGCCUCAAGCGUGGUAAAAGUCAUUUGUGAUACAUUGUGAUACCAUACAUUGUGAAUCGUAUGAAGUUGCCUAUGGACAACCAAAUUUGGACUUUACUAUUUAUUGGGUGAGCCUGAGUGGUUCAGUCGGUUAAGACUCUGCCCUUGGCCUCAGGUCAUG
Long non-coding RNA from Mustela erminea (ermine), 797 nucleotides. RefSeq lists it as uncharacterized. The transcript has 4 exons. NCBI's taxonomy places the organism in Eukaryota, Metazoa, Chordata, Mammalia, Carnivora, Mustelidae. The record is from RefSeq and is a predicted model, not a curated record.